RNAcentral lists this long non-coding RNA (218 nucleotides) under Salvia miltiorrhiza (redroot sage). RNAcentral describes it as "long non-coding RNA (SMIL_LNC012570)". Lineage: Eukaryota; Viridiplantae; Streptophyta; Magnoliopsida; Lamiales; Lamiaceae. The record is from RNAcentral.
AAGCCGCGAAAGUUGGUUGUGCCGCCCGGGCCCUCCAUGCUCCGCGCAGAGAUAGCACUUAAUCAUAAGCCGCGAAAGUUGGUUGCACCCCCCGGGUUUUCCAUGCUCCGCGCAGAGGUUGCUUUAACCGUAAGCCACGAAAGUUGGUCACACCCCCCGGGUUUUCCAUGCUCCGUGCAGGGUGUUCCUGUCAAUCGUAAGCCGCGAAAGUUGGUUGU